RNAcentral lists this transfer RNA (362 nucleotides) under uncultured Microcystis sp. RNAcentral describes it as "partial 16S-23S ribosomal RNA intergenic spacer". The stretch from base 135 to 208 matches the Rfam family "tRNA". The record is from RNAcentral. Lineage: Bacteria; Bacillati; Cyanobacteriota; Cyanophyceae; Chroococcales; Microcystaceae.
AAGGGAGACCUAAUUCAGGUAGGAGACGAAAAAAUAGUAGUCCCAACCAAGAAUCAAUCCCAAAAGGUCGGAGCGAGGCGAAAUUGGCUUUCAAACUAGGUUCUGGGUUCAAACAAGACCUGAAUCAGGAACAAGGGCUAUUAGCUCAGGUGGUUAGAGCGCACCCCUGAUAAGGGUGAGGUCCCUGGUUCGAGUCCAGGAUGGCCCACCUGCACAGGUGGCAAAAACAAAGAAGAGAAGCUCCGAAUCAGCACCUUAUCUUAUCUAUAGAUAAGAGAGAAUGCUGGCUCUGAGUUCAGAGUCCAGAGGAACCUUGAAAACUGCAUAGAGCUAGGUGAAAAAGCCAAAGAAGACCGCAAGGU